GGCCACAUCACGUAGUAACACCGGUUCUCAUAAGAUCUCAGUAGUUAAGCAAACAUCGAGCCUUGUUAGUACUUAAAUGGGUGACCGAUUCGGAAUACCAGUGUUGUAAG
This is a non-coding RNA of Acanthosepion pharaonis, 110 nucleotides long. Lineage: Eukaryota; Metazoa; Mollusca; Cephalopoda; Sepiida; Sepiidae. The record is from the annotation of a GenBank genome assembly.